This 19-nucleotide unclassified non-coding RNA is filed under the name Chlamydomonas reinhardtii. RNAcentral describes it as "small RNA Cre_1203". Lineage: Eukaryota; Viridiplantae; Chlorophyta; Chlorophyceae; Chlamydomonadales; Chlamydomonadaceae. The record is from RNAcentral.
CGAGAGCGUGUCAGCGUUC